AGAGUUUGAUCCUGGCUCAGGACGAACGCUGGCGGCGUGCCUAACACAUGCAUGUCGAACGGAGAUUUCAGCAAUGGAAUCUUAGUGGCGAACGGGUGAGUAACGCGUAGACAACCUACCUUCUAGCUGGGGACAACACUACGAAAGUGGUGCUAAUACCGAAUGUUGUAUUUUGAAUGCAUAUUUAAAAUACUAAAGGUGGCCUCUAUUUAUAAGCUAUCACUAGAAGAUGGGUCUGCGUCUGAUUAGCUAGUUGGUGAGGUAACGGCUCACCAAGGCGACGAUCAGUAGCCGGUCUGAGAGGAUGAACGGCCACACUGGGACUGAGACACGGCCCAGACUCCUACGGGAGGCAGCAGUGGGGAAUCUUCCGCAAUGGACGAAAGUCUGACGGAGCAACGCCGCGUGAGUGAAGAAGGUUUUCGGAUCGUAAAACUCUGUUUUCAGGGACGAAUGUGUGGAUUGUAAAUAAUGAUUCAUAAUGACGGUACCUGACAAGAAAGCCACGGCUAACUACGUGCCAGCAGCCGCGGUAAUACGUAGGUGGCAAGCGUUGUCCGGAAUUAUUGGGCGUAAAGCGCGCGCAGGUGGGAUAAUCAGUCUGAUGUGAAAGUUCGGGGCUUAACCCCGUGAAGCAUUGGAAACUAUUAUUCUUGAGUGCAGGAGAGGAAAGUGGAAUUCCUAGUGUAGCGGUGAAAUGCGUAGAUAUUAGGAGGAACACCAGUGGCGAAGGCGACUUUCUGGACUGUGUCUGACACUGAGGCGCGAAAG
RNAcentral lists this ribosomal RNA (771 nucleotides) under uncultured bacterium. RNAcentral's name for it is "bacterial SSU rRNA". It matches the Rfam family "Bacterial small subunit ribosomal RNA", at positions 8 to 759 of the family's 1533-position model. The record is from RNAcentral.